GACGAACGCUGGCGGCGUGCUUGACACAUGCAAGUCGAACGGAAAGGCCUGCUUUCCCUUGUGGAUUGCGGGUACUCGAGUGGCGAACGGGUGAGUAACACGUGAGUGAUCUGCCCCCAACUUGGGUAUAAGCCUGGGAAACUGGGUCUAAUUCCCGAUAGGACUGCAGGGUGGUGCCUGUGGUGGAAAACGAUUUUCUAGUGGUUGGGGAUGAGCUCGCGGCCUAUCAGCUUGUUGGUGGGGUAAUGGUCUACCAAGGCGGCGACGGGUAGCCGGCCUGAGAGGGUGGACGGCCACAUUGGGACUGAGAUACGGCCCAGACUCCUACGGGAGGCAGCAGUGGGGAAUAUUACACAAUGGGCGGAAGCCUGAUGCAGCGACGCCGCGUGGGGGAUGACGGCCUUCGGGUUGUAAACUCCUUUCGACCGCGAGGAAGCCACCUGGUUGGAAGGGUGGUGACGGUAGUGGUAGAAGAAGCACCGGCUAACUACGUG
RNAcentral lists this ribosomal RNA (494 nucleotides) under uncultured bacterium. Its description in RNAcentral is "partial 16S ribosomal RNA". It matches the Rfam family "Bacterial small subunit ribosomal RNA", at positions 28 to 507 of the family's 1533-position model. The record is from RNAcentral.